Molecule: ribosomal RNA, 433 nt
Filed under: uncultured bacterium
Lineage: Bacteria
Description: partial 16S ribosomal RNA
Rfam family: Bacterial small subunit ribosomal RNA
Source: RNAcentral
AACGAACGCUGGCGGCAUGCCUAACACAUGCAAGUCGAACGAGACAUUCGGGUUUACUGGCGGAUGGAUGCGUAACGGGUGGGAAACUGCCCUUGGAUUUGGAAUAACUUCCCGGAUAGGGUCCUGAUACGGGCGAUUGUCUCCGGAACAACGUUUGAAUGACUUUGGAUGGGCCUUGGUUGGAUUAGCUAGUUGGUAGGGUAAAAGCCUACCAAGGCGAGGUUCGAUAAAUGGUUUGAGAGGAUGAUCAGCCACACUGGGACUGAGACACGGCCCAGACUCCUACGGGAGGCAGCAGUGGGGAAUACUGGACAGUGGGCGAAAGCCUGAUCGUGCUAUGACGCGUGAGUGAUGAAGGCCUUAGGGUUGGAAAGCUCUUUUACCCGUGAUGAUAAUGACGGUACCGGCAGAAUAAGCUCCGGCUAACUCCGUG